Molecule: long non-coding RNA, 6825 nt
Filed under: Homo sapiens (human)
Lineage: Eukaryota; Metazoa; Chordata; Mammalia; Primates; Hominidae
Description: PREDICTED lncRNA (TCONS_00204747)
Source: RNAcentral
CUGGGCACUUCAGAAGGGGCACUGGCCUAGGGGUAGAAGCAGGGUGACCCUGAUUUCCCUGGGGUAGGGUGUGGCUCACGACGGGGUGCUGAGAACCCACCAAGAAGGCUGGAACUUUCAGUACUCAUUGUUUUAUGAGGGCCUGCCUGUGUGCCAGGCGGGAAGCACUGACCAGAGGCCCAGGGCAACUGAAGGGUCUCAGCCUGGUCUCUUGGUGCCUGGGGGGUACACUGUACAAGCGAUGAUGUAGUUCCAAGGGGCAGGACUCUGACCCACACUCCUGGUGCCAAUGUCCAUUUUGCUACUCAUGUUAGAUUUUGCUUCUUUAAGUGAACCUACUCAGGAUAGCUGGGUUCUUGGCCAUUCUUCCAGUGGUUUUCAAGGGUGAAAAAAGGAGUUUCAGCAAGACAGCUAACGUCUGGAUGAGUGAGCCAGGAAGGGUCUGUAACCUUCCUCUAGAGAGCACUCUGGGCUGGUGGGCGCGAGGACUCCAGUUUCAUGCACGUCCGUGUGAAGAGACCACCAAACAGGCUUUGUGUGAGCAAUAAAGCUGUUUAUUUCACAUGGGGGCAGGCAGGCUGAGUCUGAAAAGAGAGUCAGUGAAGGGAGAUAGGGGUGGGGCCGUUUUAUAGGAUUUCGGUAGGUAAAGGAAAAUUACAGUUAAAGGGGGGUUGUUCUCUGGCGGGCAGAGUAGGGAUCACAAUGUACUCAGUGGGGGAGGUUUUGAGCCAGGAUGAGCCAGGAGAAGGAAUUUCACAAGACAAUGUCAUCAGUUAAGGCAGGAACAGGCCAUUUUCACUUCUUUUGUGGUGGAAUGUCAUCAGUUAAGGCAGGAACCGGCCAUCUGGAUGUGUACGUGCAGGUCACAGGGGAUAUGAUGGCUUAGCUUGGGCUCAGAGGCCUGACGUUCCUGUCUUCUUAUAUUAACAAGAAAAAUAAAACAAAAUAGUGGUAAAGUGUUGGGAUGGUGAAAAUUUUUUGGGGGUGGUAUGGAGAGACAAUGGGCGAUGUUUCUCAGGGCUGCUUCGAGCGGGAUUAGGGGCGGCGUGGGAACCUAGAGUGGGAGAGAUUAAGCUGAAGGAAGAUUUUGUGGUAAGGGGUGAUAUUGUAGGGUUGUUAGAAGAAACAUUUGUCAUUUAGAAUUAUUGGUGAUGUCCUGGAUACAGUUUUGUAUGAAUUGAAAAACUAAAUGGAAGAAGAGAAGGAGAAAAACAGAUAUUAAAGGUCUAAGAAUUGGGAGGACCUAGGACAUCUAAUUAGAGAGUGCCUAAGGAGGUUCAGCAUAGUCCUGUCAGCAGAGAUUGUUUAUUUACUUCAAGAGUUAAGAGUGGCAGUUUGGGGAUAGCACCAGGAGAUAUCAGCUGUGAUGACUUGGAGAAACAGUGUAAACCGGCAGUGUAAACAAGAGAAGGGCAUGUAUGAGUAGUUGAGAACGGCAAAUAGGAGUUUGACUAGACAGAAGAUAGUAGGGAUGACAAGUUUUUUGGGGCACAGUCUAAGUUGGUCUGGUGUCUGGAAUGACACUGGGGCCAAUAAAAAGGAGCGUCUUUACAGGAGCUCAAAUGGGCUGUAUUUUGUAGCAUUCUGAGGACAGCUCUGACUUCUGAGAAGGGAAAGUGGUAAAAGUGUUGUACAGUCCUUUUUAAGUUGGAGGCUGAGCUUAGUGAGGUGUGUUUUUAAAAGACCAUUAGUCUGUUCUACUUUUCCUGAAGACUGAGGACUGUAAGGGAUAUAAAGAUUUCACUGAAUACUAAGAGCCUGAAAAACUGCUUGGCUGAUUUGACUAAUAAAGGCUGGUCUGUUGUCAGACUGUAUAGAGGUGGGAAGGCUAAACUGAGGAAUUAUGUCUGACAGAAGGGAAGAAAUGACUGUGGUGGCCUUCUCAGACCCUGUAGGAAAGGCCUGUACUUAUCCAGUGAAAGUGUCUACUUAGAUUAAGAGGUACUUUAGUUAUCUGACUCGGGGUACGUUGAGUAAAACUAAUUUGCCAGUCCUGGGUGCGGGCAAAUCCCUGAGCUUGAUGUGUAGGGAAGGGAGGGAGCCUGAAUAAUCCCUGAGGAGUAGUAGAAUAGCAGAUGGAACACUGAGAAGUUAUUUCCUUGAGGAUAGAUUUCCACGAUGGAAAGAAAAUGAGAGGUUCUAAGAGGAGGGCUAGUGGCUUGUACUAUAGCAUAGCCUGCCUUUGCUGGUGUGUGGUGAUUAGGCCUGGUGGAGCUGCCGUCAAUAAAUCAAGAGUGAUCAGGUUGAGGAACAGGAAAGAAGGAAAUAUGGGGAAAUGAGGUGAAUGUCAGUUGGAUCAGAGAGAUACAGUCAUGGGGGUCAGGUGUAGUAUCAGGAAUAAUGUGGGAGGCCGGACUGAAGUCCGGGCCAGGAACAAUGGUAAUUGUGGGACUUAACAAAGAGUGAGUACAGCUGAAGGAGCCGGGGAGCAGACAGUAAGUGCAUCAGGUGUGAGGAAGAAAAUAGAUUUUGGAAGUUAUGAGAAAUGUAGAGAGUGAGUUGUGCAUAGUUUGUGAUUUUGAGGGCCUCUAAAAGUAUUAGGGCGGCAGCAGCCGCUGCACAGAGACGUGAGGGCUAGGCUAAAACAGUAAGGUCAAGCUAUUUGGACAGAAAGGCUACAGGGUGCGGUCCUGGCUCUUGUGUAAGAAUUCUGACCACGCUAACCAUGCCUAGGAAGGAAAGGAGUUGUCGUUUUGUAAGGGAUUGAGGUUUGGGAGAUUAAUCAGACACGAUCAGCAGGGAGAGCACGUGUGUUUUUAUGAGAAUUAUGCUGAGAUAGGUAACAGAUGAGGAUGAAAUUUGGGCUUGACUGAAGUAAUGGGGGCUGUCUGUGAAGCUUUGCGGCAGUACAGCCCAGGUAAUCUGCUGAGCCUGAUGGGUGUCAGGGUCAGUCCAAGUGAAAGUGAAGAGAGGCUGGGAUGACAGGAGCAAAGGAAUAGUAAAGAUACCAAGUUUGAGAUCCAGAACAGAAUAAUGGGUUGUUGAGGGAGGUAUUGAGGAUAGGAGAGUAUGUGUGUUUGGCACCAUGGGGUGGAUAGGCAAAACAAUUUUGUUGAUAAGAGGCAAAUCCUGAACUAACUUGUAAGGCUUGUCUGGUUUUAGGACAGGUAAAAUGGGAGAAUUGUAAGGAGAGUUUAUAGGCUUUAAAAGGCCAUGCUGUAGCAGGCGAGUGAUAACAGGCUUUAAUCCUUUCAAAGCAUGCUGUGGGAUGGGAUAUUGGCGUUGAGUGGGGUAAGGGUGAUUAGGUUUUAAUCAGAUGGUAAGGGGUGCAUGAUAGGUCAACAAGGAGGGAGUAGAGGUAUCCUAUACUUGCGGAUUAAGGUGGGGAGAUACAAGAGGAGGAUGUGAAGGGGGCUUUGAACUGGGGGAAAAGGUCACAAUGCGGUGUGGCUGUAGCCCAGGAAUAGUCAGGGAAGCAGAUAAUUUAGUUAAAGUGUUUCGGCCUAAUAAGGGAACUGGGCAGGUGGGGAUAACUAAAAAGGAGUGCUUAAAAGAGUUUUGUCUAAGUUGGCACAAGACUUGGGGAGUUUUAAGAGGUUUAGAAGCCUGGCCGUCAAUACCCACAACAGUUAUGGAGGCAAGGGAAACAGGCCCUUGAAAAGAAGGUAAUGUGGAGUGGGGAGCCUCCGUAUUGAUUAAGAAGGGGAUGAACUUACUUUCCACUGUGAGAGUUACCUAAAGCUCGGCGUCCGUGAUGGUCUACGGGGCUUCCGAGGCAAUAAGGCAGCGUCAGUCUUCAGCCGCUAAGCCGAGAAGGGAUCAGUCAGAGAGGCUUGGGCCAGAGUUCCAGGGGCUCUGGGAGUGGCUGCCAGGUGAGUUGGACAGUCCGAUUUCCAGUGGAGUCCCGCACAGAUGGGACGCGGCUUAGGAGGAAUCCUGGGCUGCAGGCAUUCCUUGGCCUGGUAGUCAGAUUUCUGGCACUUGUAGCAAGCUCCUGGGGGAGAAGGUUCUGGAGUAACGCCUGGCCACUGCGGUUCAGGCAUUUGGAAGUUCUUGUGUGCUGGAGAUGUGGCUGGGGUUUGUCUCACAGUGGAGGUUACCUAACCAAACUCCUGUAAAACCACACCACCUAUGCCUGUGAUGGGGACUAUCUGAAUCUACAGUGCCCUCGGCAUUCUACAAUAAGUGUCCAAUCGGCAUUUUAUGGACAAGAUUACCCAAUGUGUAGUUCCCAGAAGCCUGCCUGCCAGAGGGAAGACAGCUUAACUUGUGUGGCACCCACCACCUUCCAGAUGAAUUAAAAAACAAAACCGUGUGUGAAGACAAGGAGCUGAAACUGCACUGCCAUGAAUCCAAGUUCCUCAACAUCUACUCUGUGACCUAUGGCAGGAGGAUCCAGGAAAGGGACAUGUGCUCCUCCAAGGCAGAGCGGCUCCCCCCCUUUUCAGUUUGUGCUUUUGUAUGGGUAUUAGCCGGGGUUCUCUAGAGGGACUGAACUAAUAGGAUAUAUAAUGGGAUAUAUAUAUAUGAUUGUGGAAGUCAAUACUUAAUAACACAAUCACAAUCUUGUGAUCGUGAAUGUUAAUACUUAAUAAACUCCCAUAUGUGUGUGUGUGUGUGUGUGUGUGUGUGUGUGUGUGUAUAAAUGCUUGUAAACAGUAAUCUGCCAAAAAUAAAUAAGUAAAACAACAAGAACUGGCCGGGCACAGUGGCUCAUGCCUAUAAUCCUAGGACUUUGGGAAGCUGAGGCGGGUGGAUCACGAGGUCAGGAGUUCAAGACCAGCCUGGCCAACAUGGUGAAAUCCCGUCUCUACUUAUAAUACAAAAUUAUCUGGGUAUGGUAUCGCAUGCCUGUAAUCCCAGCUACUUGGGAGGCUGUGACAAGAAGAAUCACUUGAACCUGGUAGGCAGAGUUGGCAGUCAGCUGAGAUCUCACCAAUGCACUCCACCUUGGGUGAGAAGAGUGAAACUCUGUCUCAAAAAAGAAAAAGAAAAAAAAAAGACACGGUCCUGUUUUCAUGGGGUGAACAGUUGAGGGAGAAAGGCAAGCAUUAACCAAAUAGGCAGACACAUCAUCAUGCCCUAUUGUGACAAAUGCUAUUUUAGAAAAGGGAAGAAGACUAUAGCAGUGGAGGGGGCCUAAUUUAGCUUGGGGGUGGUGGUUUAAGUCUUCCAAAGAGAACCAUCCUGUAGGGUGAACACUAGGGUAUGCACACUAGCUGCACUCUAGGGGCUGAGACGCUGAGAUUGCUGAGUGGGAGAGGAAAGGUGUUGAUGAGGAGGAAGAUGGCCCUGGUUUAAACUGCUGAGAACAGGGUGCUGCACACAGUAGGAGCGCCAUGAAGAGUGGUCCCCAGUGUUCUCACCAACAUAUCUGAAGUGGAGCAGGACGGUGAUCAAUCACACCCCUGUCCCCGACCUCAUUCUGAACCCGUUUGAAACGAGCAGAUGCAAAAAUCUGACAAGUGUGUUGACAACGGUGAUUUUAAAGGUCCUAAGAGAUUCUCUGGAUUUCAGAACCAAUUUCCCAUAGUAGAGGGGCACAUUCCCUGCAGUGGCCUGUGUCAUACACAGCCAAUUUCACCUUUUCACUGCCUGGUUAUUCUGCAAAGUGCAUCCUAGAAUGACCUUCCUCUCUGAGCUCCUCUUCAAAAUUCUGAUUCUUUCUCAAACUGUAAAGCCUCUGGCAUUUGCCAAGAGCCAAGGCCCUCCUGAAGCCACAGUUUGAGAACAGCCAAGAGGCAGACAUGAGAAAGAAGUCCCACCCCUGGCAGGGAGAGCUGACACUUCCCGGGCUACUGCAUCCUUCUCAGGGCCCAGAAAUGAAUGAGAGGUAAUUAAAGCAGAAAGCAUUUUGCAGCAGCUCCGCUCAGCUCUCCGAAGCUGCCAUGGUCCCAGGAUCAGUGGUGUGCCCUGAGGACAGCCAAGGGACAUUCCUCGAGGCCCUAGAAAUCAUCAGCCACCUCCAGCAACUUCACCGGGCCUCCCUGGGAAGUCUCCCUUGCUGCUGAUGGGCACGAAGGCACCAGGGCCUCCUGUACAUGGAAAACUCACAAUCUAGGAAUGUCCUGUGGUUGUUGAUCCUGGGACAUCCCCAGAAGAAUUUAGUUAAGCCCUCCAAGAAAGGAAACAAGGUUUUCUUGCUGCUGAAGAUGUCUCACUUGUUCUUUUUUAAAAAAGCAGUGCAAUUGAAUUUGCAGUUUGUUUUUGCUUUCUUUCCAUUUCCUGUUGCUACAUCUCCAAGAUCUCAGCUGCGCUGAGGAACAAACAAAAAUAAGCAAUUUUAUGCAGGAGGAAUAUUCGGUUUCCACUCCCUUCUCCCAGCCUGCGGCAGUGCUUGGCCUGCAGAAUUCUUGCUCUGCCCUCUGUUUCAGCGGGUGUUGUCAUCUGCCAGCUGCUUUGCCUGGGGGUUCUGACAUCUCAGGGCUUAUUCUUAGCGUCAGUCUCAGCAGAGUCUUAAACCACGUUCAAAGGAUUCGGUCCCGCUGCCAUCCUCUCUGCAUCUUUCUGUAGUUCUUUCUGAUAAUAUUUAGCAAAUCACUUUAACACAGAGUCUUCGAAUUCUUUCCAGAUUUACGAUGGAAACACAGAGGCAAAGAGCUUGGGGUAGAAAGCAGAAGAGCAGGUGCUGGAAGAGUUUAAUGGUGGAUUUUGAGUUGGUCACAGUCAUUUUGCUUUACUAAGUCCAGGGAAGCUCAUCUUCAGAGUUAACCACUGUGUGUGUGUGUGUGUGUGUGUGUGUGUGUGUGUGUGUGUAUAUAUAUAUAUAUCACACACACACUGUGAUAUAUAUAUAUAUAUACACACACACUGGUAUAUAUAUAUAUAUUUAUAUAUAACCACUGUGUGUGUGUAUAUAUAUGUAUAUAUAUGUGUGUAUAUAUA